This 71-nucleotide transfer RNA is filed under the name Mus musculus (house mouse). RNAcentral's name for it is "tRNA-Asn". Lineage: Eukaryota; Metazoa; Chordata; Mammalia; Rodentia; Muridae. The record is from RNAcentral.
GGAGAGAUGGCUUAGCCGUUAAGAGCAUUGACUGUUCUUCCAGAGGUCCUGAGUUCAAUUCUCAGCCACCA